Molecule: ribosomal RNA, 422 nt
Filed under: uncultured bacterium
Lineage: Bacteria
Description: bacterial SSU rRNA
Rfam family: Bacterial small subunit ribosomal RNA
Source: RNAcentral
UGAGGAAUAUUGGACAAUGGGCGCAAGCCUGAUCCAGCCAUGCCGCGUGCAGGAAGAGGCAUCUAUGGUGUGUAAACUGCUUUUGUACGGGAAGAAACACUCCUUCGUGAAGGAUCUUGACGGUACCGUAAGAAUAAGGAUCGGCUAACUCCGUGCCAGCAGCCGCGGUAAUACGGAGGAUCCAAGCGUUAUCCGGAAUCAUUGGGUUUAAAGGGUCCGUAGGCGGUUUAGUAAGUCAGUGGUGAAAGCCCAUCGCUCAACGAUGGAACGGCCAUUGAUACUGCUAGACUUGAAUUACAAGGAAGUAACUAGAAUAUGUAGCGUAGCGGUGAAAUGCUUAGAUAUUACAUGGAAUACCAAUUGCGAAGGCAGGUUACUACUUGUGGAUUGACGCUGAUGGACGAAAGCGUGGGGAGCGAACA